Molecule: long non-coding RNA, 3642 nt
Organism: Ostrea edulis (European flat oyster)
Lineage: Eukaryota; Metazoa; Mollusca; Bivalvia; Ostreida; Ostreidae
Exons: 7
Source: RefSeq, a predicted model, not a curated record
CUUUAUUAUUUAAUAUAAAAAAACCACCUUCUCCAACUUUUGUACACUGCGCUGGAGUAUGGAGAUUACGUUUUCGAUCAGAGAAUGUACCGGGGUUAAUAUAAAGUGCAUAUCGCUUGAUAUCGACAGGUUUAAAUAUAACUUCAUACGGAUGAAUGCUUAUGUGAAACUUAUACGGUACCAAUUUUUAAUUUUUAUAAGGUUUCAAGUUUUUCUCAUUCGCUGUCAACACCACAUAACCCGGAGGGUUUACCCUCCCAGUGAUUAAUUGUAUGCAUCUAAACGAUUUUAAUUUUUUUUUUAAAUUUUGAUUGCAAAUAAAUAAGGACGUUUUUAAAACCUGCUUUUCCGGUCAUUUUCCCAUGUUAACCUGGAAGAAUGCAAUAUUAUAUAGCAUCCUAUGUGUACGUGAUACACCAGACUAAAGAAAUAAAACAUGCGUUAACUGAUAAAAUGAAAUACGAAUAAAUCAAAAUCAGAGGAAAUCCCUCAAUGAAACAAAAACUGAAACCAGAAAAACCAUGUCAGUAGAACUAGAGUGUUUACCGUGCAAUGGUUUGGUUACAAGACGCCUUUCUGUGAGACACACGGACUUGGAUAUCCUUGAAAAAUGUCUACAAUCACAGGGUAAUGUACAUAACACCUCCAUCCCUCAGCCCCAGUUAUGUGAAAUGUCGAUCAGCUGCAUGACAUAUCCAUUGUUGUCAUUCUGCAAACAUUCAUCAAUUUCAUUUAGUUUGUAUUGCAGCUUUGAUUCACUCGCACAGAUAAUUAUCGGUAUGCAAAAAAUGUAGGCAACUGAAAAUUUUCUAGUAAUUUUUACAAGGACUUUAUAUAUCUUAGUGAGUUAUCGCUCUUACUUUACUUUUACAUCUAUGAAUAUUCACUUCAUCAAGAAUUUAAGAUUUUGCAGCUUAAUUAUGAUUUUUCUUAGCUUUAGACUUGAAAUCGUAUGAUAAAGUUCACCGUAAUAAAUCAUAGGCCAUGCUCGCUGCAUCAAAGGAACGAGUUGAAAAAUACCCACACUGCUAUUUUCGUAUGUAUGUAAAAGUAAGAUAAUGAAAAGUGAUCAAUGCCAUAAUUCCAAUAAUGAAUACUAAAGAGUAGGGCAAACAUGGACCUCUGGGCUCAGUUACACGAAACUGAGUUAAGGCCAAAAAAUAUAUGUUGGUUUCCACUUUCCCUACCUACCCUGAAAAUUUCUGCCGACCCUAACACAUUUUUCCAUUCUAACUGAUUUUGCAAUUGUCAUCACUACAACAAGAGUAUAUUUAUUGACUUAUUUAUCAAGUUAUUUAUUAUGCACUUAUACUAGACAGAUUCCAAAACACAGAAACAGUUUUUCUUUACAGUAAAGUGAAGAAAUGUAUUGAUUCAUCAUAUAAAUUUUAUUUGAUUACAAAAUAAUCACUUUAUUUUAUGCAUUGUAGAAUACUAAAUCAUUAGAAAAUUAUUCAAGUGAAAGUGGAAACCAAUAGAUAUAUUUUUUUGGCCUAAGUUUAAUUGACAGUUAACGUCUAUAUAAAUGAAAAGUUAUCCGGCAAUGGUUACGUCUCGAUAUGAGUGAAACAUUCUCGAUAUACAACCAACAACCGCCUAUUAAAGCUAACUAACCGUCCUGAACACACUAGAGGCGGUUCUUAGGAGGAGCAAGCAUUGCAGUUGACAGUCACACCUGUCAUGAACCCUAUAACAUGUACAGAAUUCCUACUUAAUGAUUAUGGAAAGACUGUUCUAGAAUUCACCCAUUUUCACUUACAGAAAUAGAAAGUGGAAUAACUAUGUUUAGUUUUUUCCUAUAAGUUUUAACAAGUUUUAGCUGCCCUGAGUUAAUGUCUGUGGUAAAAUGAGCUUCACGCCUUAUUAAAAGUAUUAUAUGCCUGCCUUUAAUUUAAUUUUUUUUUACGUAUCUUUGAGAAUUAAUUCAAGAUAUGGGACUCACGGUGGUUGUGACCGGUUGACAGGGGAUGAUUACUCCCCCUUGGCACCUGAUCCCACCUCUAGUACAUCCAUGGGUCCGUGUUUGCCCAACUCUCUCUUUUGUAUUCUUUAUAGACGUUAUGAGAUUGAUCACUGUUCGUUAAUUUCACCUUUUCACGUAUUUAGAGACAUCGCCAACUAUGGGUAAAGUACUACAAAUUUAGACCUAACAUAUGACGAUCAGGGAUGUGAGGGUUCUUCAACGUGUAAAUGCCUACGUUUGACGUGGAUAUAAGCUGGACUAGAACUCACAAAUUGAAGCGAGCGCUUUAACCAUUGAGAUGUAAAAUGUGAUGGCUCCAAAAGAAAUGUAUUAGAAUGGUUGUACUGUGGAAACUAGUCAUUGUGUUGAUAAUCGAUGGAGUACAGAAAAAUGCAGUUAACUCCUGGAAAAUCAAGGUUAUUGAGAAAAAUACAAUUGAAAACUUGCCAGUAAAAAAUUACUCAACACCAACUGUUGGUAUAAGUACAAGCAAGACAAACAACAGAACCAAUUCUACGGAAAUUAGUACACUAUCUCAGAGCCUCCAGGUAGAGGAGGGAAGAAUGAACGUGGUCGUGGUAACUGCCGCAGUUGUGUGCCCCUUAGCUUUUAUUGUUUUGAUUUUAUUCAUCUUAAAGAAAACAAACAAGUUAAAUGUACUAACUUUGUCGGUGUUCAAAUUAUUCAACAGAGAUAGAUCUACGCCAGAGGAUGAACCGAUGGAGCUCAUUACAAGUAGUUAGUUUUGAAAUUUCAAUAUAUGAGUCGGGACGCUGAAUUUGUGGAAUACUAGAUCUAACAUAUGAUUGCUCCAAGAGAAGAGUCUUAGAAUGGUUCUACUUUGGACUGUAGCAUUUUUGCUGAUUAUCCUUGAAACACAGAAAAAUGUCGUUAACUCCCGGAAAAUCAUAGUUGUUAAGAAAAAGACAACUACUGAAACCUUGACAGCAACAAAUGACUUCACGCCCACUGUCAGUAUCAGCACAGACAACAUAGAUAAUGUAUUGAAUUCUACGGAAAUCAGUACAAACGAAUCUUCAAGACUCCGGAAAGGAAAUGGAGAAUGGAAUGUGGGCGUGGUCGUAGCUGUAGUCUCUGUGUGUUUGUUGAGUUUUACUCUGACUAUUAUAGUCAUCUUGAAGAGAACAGAUGGGUUACAUGUACCAUCCUUUUGUGUAUGCCAAUCGUUCAACAGAAACGGACCAGAGAACAAUGAAAAUAUCCCGAUGAAUACUUCUAGAGAUGGUGACUAGUUUUAAAUGUCUACCCGUAUAUUUUGAAUUGUGUAAUAUCAUGCACCUUCAAUGAAAAUUUGUAGAUAUUUAUACUCGGCAUUUUGAUGCAUUGCAUUUUGACGGAUUGUAUGUACUGUAUGCGCGAUGUAAUACAUUGACGCAGACAAUGUUUGUAGAGUUUGAUCCAUGUAUCACCUUGUAAUGGAACUGUAUAUUUUGUCAUCUUUGUGCAUUACGUUUUGAGUAACCUGUAUUUGGAGUGAAGUCUAUGAAUUACAUAUUGUUGAGGAUCUGAUUGUAAAAUCCUGCCUAGGUAUUUUACUGUGCAGAUAUAUGUAUGUUGCAUUCCAUGUAUACAUUACAAUGUGAAGGACCUUGUUGUCUUCAGAGGUUAUUGAUACAAAUAUAAUUAAGCAACUGAUUAUAAAAUUGAUUUUUUUUAAA